UUUGUCUUUAUGGCAAAUGUGAGAUGCAGUGUAUGGAAUGUCAAAUUUCUAGUAUGAGAAAUUAACGAUUUAAGUCCUUCUUAAAUGAGGCCAUUUACCCAAAGAGGGUGCCAGGCCCGUAUAACGUUAAUGAUUACUAGAUGGCAUUUCCAAAGAGUCGUGUUGCUUGAUAGUGCAGCACUAAGUGGGUGGUAAACUCCAUCUAAAACUAAAUAUAACCAUGAGACCGAUAGUAAACAAGUACCGUGAGGGAAAGUUGAAAAGAACUCUGAAUAGAGAGUUAAAUAGUACGUGAAACUGCUUAGAGGUUAAGCCCGAUGAACCUGAAUAUCCAUUAUAGAAAAUUCAUCAUUAUGAUUUUAAUAUUAAUAAUAUUAUAAUAAUGGUGUGCAUUUUUUCUAUAACGGACAUUGUAAUCUAUUAACAUAAAUAUAUUUAUCAUAAGAUCAAUGAUGCGUAAGUUUAUUCAAAUUAUUUUGCUUGCAAUUUAACAUAGAAUAAAUGCUCUUGAUUUGAUAAAGUGUUGAUAGAUUUAUUAUAUAUAGUGCUUAAAUAUUUAUAUUUUAUAAUGGCAUAUUAAUCAUUGAUUUUUAUGUUUAUUAUAUGCACUUAUAUGAUUAACAAUGCGAAAGAUUCAGGAUACCUUCGGGACCCGUCUUGAAACACGGACCAAGGAGUCUAACAUAUUUGCAAGUUAUUGGGUGUCAAAACCUAAUAGCGAAAUUAACAUAACUUUAAUGGGAUUAGUUUUUAGAUUAUUUAUAGUCUAUUAAUUCAAUCCCGGGGCGUUCUAUAUAGUUAUGUAUAAUAGUAUUUAUAUUAUUUAUACCUCUAACUAGAGCGUACCUUGAGCAUAUAUGUUGUGACCCGAAAGAUGGUGAACUAUACUUGAUCAGGUUGAAGUCAGGGGAAACCCUGAUGGAAGACCGAAACAGUUCUGACGUGCAAAUCGAUUGUCAGAAUUGAGUAUAGGGGCGAAAGACCAAUCGA
RNAcentral lists this ribosomal RNA (990 nucleotides) under Duckemyia latifrons. RNAcentral describes it as "eukaryotic LSU rRNA". It matches the Rfam family "Eukaryotic large subunit ribosomal RNA", at positions 120 to 938 of the family's 3401-position model. Lineage: Eukaryota; Metazoa; Arthropoda; Insecta; Diptera; Sarcophagidae. The record is from RNAcentral.